This 494-nucleotide ribosomal RNA is filed under the name uncultured bacterium. Its description in RNAcentral is "partial 16S ribosomal RNA". It matches the Rfam family "Bacterial small subunit ribosomal RNA", at positions 28 to 507 of the family's 1533-position model. The record is from RNAcentral.
GACGAACGCUGGCGGCGUGCUUAACACAUGCAAGUCGAACGGAAAGGCCUGCUUUCCCUUGUGGAUUGCGGGUACUCGAGUGGCGAACGGGUGAGUAACACGUGAGUGAUCUGCCCCCAACUUGGGUAUAAGCCUGGGAAACUGGGUCUAAUUCCCGAUAGGACUGCAGGGUGGUGCCUGUGGUGGAAAACGAUUUUCUAGUGGUUGGGGAUGAGCUCGCGGCCUAUCAGCUUGUUGGUGGGGUAAUGGCCUACCAAGGCGGCGACGGGUCGCCGGCCUGAGAGGGUGGACGGCCACAUUGGGACUGAGAUACGGCCCAGACUCCUACGGGAGGCAGCAGUGGGGAAUAUUGCACAAUGGGCGGAAGCCUGAUGCAGCGACGCCGCGUGGGGGAUGACGGCCUUCGGGUUGUAAACUCCUUUCGACCGCGAGGAAGCCACCUGGUUGGAAGGGUGGUGACGGUAGUGGUAGAAGAAGCACCGGCUAACUACGUG